This 927-nucleotide ribosomal RNA is filed under the name Triticum aestivum (bread wheat). Its description in RNAcentral is "partial small subunit ribosomal RNA". The record is from RNAcentral. Lineage: Eukaryota; Viridiplantae; Streptophyta; Magnoliopsida; Poales; Poaceae.
AUGGAACCCGUGGGAACUUGCACCAUAUGUGGGCAGGAAGAUGAGACGGUUCACCAUGCACUGAUUAGAUGUCCUCAUGCCCGAAUUCUAUGGGAGGAAAUGAGACUUGUGUGGGAUCUACCGGAUGUUGAAUCUCUUCGGAGGAACGAGCCAGAUUGGUUGUUGAUGCUGAUGCAUGAGCUGAAUGAGAUACAGCACAUGCUUGUUCUAAUGGUGCUAUGGCGGGUUUGGCACGUUCAUAAUGAGCUUACACAUGGUAAACCAAUGAUUCCAAUUGAAGUCUCCAAACGCUUCCUGUGUGGAUAUGCUGAGUUGCUACUUAUGAUAAAACAUUACCCACGUUCAGACCCCACCAAAGGAAAACAUCCGGCCCUGUUAGAUGGCUGCAUUCUUCAGAGUUCCAGCGAGAUGAUCCGGCCAGCCGUGGAAGCUUCCUGGGAACCCCCGCCUGAUGGCCACGUCAAGCUGAACUUUGAUGGGUCGUAUGUUGUAGCAGAUGGGUAUGCGGGGGCGGGAAUGGUGCUUCGCGACCAUAAUGGCGAGGUAAUUUUCACAGCAUGCAGGUGGAUCUUCAACUGUCCAGGGCCACUGGAGGUUGAGCUUGCUGCCUAUGAGGAGGGGCUAAGACUGGCCCUUCAUUGGUCCGACAAGCCGCUCAUGGUGGAGUCCGAUUGUGCUGAGCUCAUCUCGCUAAUUAGUGCGGGCACAGCGGAUCGUUCUAGCAACAUGUUUCAGGCUGCAGAAAUUUUGGAGCUACUCAAGGAACGACAAUCACAAAUCCAAAAGAUUAGCCGGACUCUGAACAAAGCUGCAGAUGCCAUGGCAGCUAUAGGACGUAGACAGCAACGCACAGCAUGUUGGCUUGCAAAUAUCCCUCAGGAGAUUAGCAUUAUCAUCAUGAAUGAUUGUAAAAUGGCUAUCAAUUAA